This 232-nucleotide ribosomal RNA is filed under the name uncultured bacterium. RNAcentral's name for it is "partial 16S ribosomal RNA". It matches the Rfam family "Bacterial small subunit ribosomal RNA", at positions 104 to 334 of the family's 1533-position model. The record is from RNAcentral.
CGGGGUGGAGUAAUGUCUGGGAAACGUGCCUGAUGGAGGGGGAUAACUACUGGAAACGGUAGCUAAUACCGCAUAACGUCGCAAGACCAAAGAGGGGGAACCUUCGGGCCUCUUGCCAUCGGAUGUGCCCAGAUGGGAUUAGCUAGUAGGUGGGGUAACGGCUCACCUAGGCGACGAUCCCUAGCUGGUCUGAGAGGAUGAUCAGCCACACUGGGACUGAGACACGGCCCAG